GCGGCCAACAUCCAGUCCGAUCGGGUGUGGCUGGCGAAUGCCCGUGUCACACUAAUGCACUUCAUGUCAGCUCAAAGGAAUCGAAUCGCCAGUCGGGCAGCCAGUUAAUGGCUACAUGCAUAAAAAGCUGAACGGAUAGCAGCCUGGCCUCUCCACGGAGAUGGACCUGGCCGGGGACCCGCCUUGACGUGCCGCGCCCCAUCGCCCCCGCCGCCCCCCUCGCGCCACGAGUCGCCGUCGACUCGAUUUGACUCCACUCGGUGCGCUUCAGCUGCAUCUCGCAAAUGAAAUAUAAAUUAAAUUAAAUUCCAAAAGAGCAAGACGCUUGGCCACCACAUGCAUAAAUCAACAGCUCAAAGUGCAGGCCAAAUGUCAACCGUUGCAUCGAUUGCCAAUUGCAACUUGCAACGCAACGCACAUGCCGCAUGCCGCAUGCCGCAUGCCGCAUGCCACACGCCACAAAGCUCUGCUCGCUAUGCACACUUUCUGUCGACCAGAUGAACUAGUUCCACAGAUCGUUAUCGAUAGUUGUUGUUGCUAUUCUUGCGUUUAUCGAUUAAGGUCAAUUUUUUGGUUUAAUUUCAUUUCGAACUGAAUUCCAUAAAUGAAAUGAUUAUGGAAAAAGUCGCACUAUGCAUAGAGGGAGAUGCUUAUUGGCUGACCUAUAUCAAGAACAGGAUUGUUAAAGCUCCACCAAGGCGUUACAACUCUCAGGUUUACAGCUCGAGUACAUCAAAAGCCGAAACGAAAUGAUCUGGAAGAACUUUGGCCUACACAGCGUCUGGAGGAUUUUGAGAUCAAGUUUUGUAUAUCUAUAUCCAUAUCUAUAUCUAUCUAUCUAUCUAUAUAUUUACAUGAAUAAUUGAUAUUACUUGAAACUUGCAGAAAGCUCUUCUAAGUACAUUGAGUACAUGCAAAGCCGAAACGAAAUGACCUGGAAGAGCUUUGGCUUACAGAUCGUCUGGAGGAUUUUGAGAUAAAGUUUUGUAUAUCUAUAUUUAUAUAUCUAUCUAUAUGUUUACAUGCAGAAGCCUCUAUUCAUUGAUAUUACCUUAAACUUGCAGCAAGCUCUUCAAAAUGCUUCCAUCUCUCAGCACACAGUUCGAGUACAUCCAAAGCCGAAAUGAAAUGACCUGGAAGAGCCUCGGCCUAUAUCCGCGCUUAGGUUUCAGAUCGUCUCGCGGAUCUUGAGAUAACGCUUUGUAUAUCUAUGUCAAGCUCUUCCAAGUGUUUCAAUCUGUCAGCCCACAGCUCGAGAAAAAAUUACCUGGAACAACUUUGGCCUGCACAGUGUCUGGCGGAUCUUGUGAUCAAGCUUUGUAUAUCAAGCUGUUCCCAGUGUUCCCAUCUCUCAACUCAAAGUUCUACAUCCAAAACCGAGACGAAUUGAGCUGAAAGAACUUUGGCCUACACAGCGUCUGGCGGAUCUUGUGAUCAAGCUUUGUAUAUCAGCUCAAAUGAUGUCGCACGUUGAGGCCUUUGCUCAUUCCCCAUUGCUGUGGCGCCAAGGUCUCCAACUUGCUGUGGCGCAAGCUUCAGGUGUCUUCACUGCUUCUGGAUAAGCCUGAGAAUUGGCAGACAGUAACGGCGCCGCGGCUCGGCUGUUUACGCGCUAGCCUGUAUCUAAUUCGUACCAUGCACUGCAUAAACAAAUAUCAAAUUAAUAAAAUGCUCGUCUCAAUUCAUUUCCGAGCAAUGUUUAUGCUUCUGUGUGUACCCAAGGCCACUUCCAUAGGGAACUGGGCCGGCUGGGCGAUCGUUUUUCCAGCAGAUAUGGGAGUAAGCGCUCUCUAUGCGACGCAAUUAGCUGGAAAAUUCUUGUGUGCUUAUCG
Long non-coding RNA from Drosophila mojavensis, 1832 nucleotides. RefSeq lists it as uncharacterized. NCBI's taxonomy places the organism in Eukaryota, Metazoa, Arthropoda, Insecta, Diptera, Drosophilidae. The transcript is spliced from 4 exons. The record is from RefSeq and is a predicted model, not a curated record.